RNAcentral lists this ribosomal RNA (501 nucleotides) under uncultured bacterium. RNAcentral's name for it is "bacterial SSU rRNA". It matches the Rfam family "Bacterial small subunit ribosomal RNA", at positions 25 to 518 of the family's 1533-position model. The record is from RNAcentral.
CAGGAUGAACGCUAGCUACAGGCUUAACACAUGCAAGUCGAGGGGUAGCAGGAUCUAGCAAUAGAUUGCUGACGACCGGCGCACGGGUGAGUAACACGUAUCCAACCUUCCGUUUACUCGGGGAUAGCCUUUCGAAAGAAAGAUUAAUACCCGAUAGUAUGUUUUUCCCGCAUGGGAGAACCAUUAAAGUUUUUCGGUAAUCGAUGGGGAUGCGUUCCAUUAGGCAGUUGGUGAGGUAACGGCUCACCAAACCUUCGAUGGAUAGGGGUUCUGAGAGGAAGGUCCCCCCACAUUGGAACUGAGACACGGUCCAAACUCCUACGGGAGGCAGCAGUGAGGAAUAUUGGUCAAUGGACGAGAGUCUGAACCAGCCAAGUAGCCGUGAAGGAUGACUGCCCUAUGGGUUGUAAACUUCUUUUAUAUGGGAAUAAAGGAGCCUACGUGUAGGUUUUUGUAUGUACCAUACGAAUAAGGAUCGGCUAACUCCGUGCCAGCCGCCGC